This 466-nucleotide ribosomal RNA is filed under the name uncultured bacterium. RNAcentral's name for it is "bacterial SSU rRNA". It matches the Rfam family "Bacterial small subunit ribosomal RNA", at positions 329 to 792 of the family's 1533-position model. The record is from RNAcentral.
ACCCAGACUCCUACGGGAGGCAGCAGUGAGGAAUAUUGGUCAAUGGGCUUACGCCUGAACCAGCCAAGUCGCGUGAGGGAAGACUGCCCUAUGGGUUGUAAACCUCUUUUGUCAGGGAGCAACGCCGGCUACGUGUAGCCGGACUGAGAGUACCUGAAGAAAAAGCAUCGGCUAACUCCGUGCCGGCAGCCGCGGUAAUACGGAGGAUGCGAGCGUUAUCCGGAUUUAUUGGGUUUAAAGGGUGCGCGGGCGGUCUGUUAAGUCGGCGGUCAAAGCCCGGGGCUCAACCCCGGCCCGCCGUUGAAACUGGCAGUCUCGAGUUGGAGAGAAGUAUGCGGAAUGCGCGGUGUAGCGGUGAAAUGCAUAGAUAUCGCGCAGAACUCCGAUUGCGAAGGCAGCAUGCCGGCUCCACACUGACGCUGAGGCACGAAAGCGUGGGUAUCGAACAGGAUUAGAUACCCUUGUA